AGAGUCGGAGAGAUACGUGGAGAUCAACAACUCAUCCGAUGUUGCUUCUUUAUCUCCAUCCAAAAUAAUAAAUCUGAAGACUCUUUACCUAUUGACAAAUUGGACCAAAGAAAAAAUCAAGAGAGGGGUGAACCAGCUGAACAACUGGUUUCCAUCCCAUUAAAAGAAGAAGAUCCUAAGAAAAUGAUUUGAAUUGGAUCACAAUUAUCUGACUC
Molecule: long non-coding RNA, 215 nt
Filed under: Elaeis guineensis (African oil palm)
Lineage: Eukaryota; Viridiplantae; Streptophyta; Magnoliopsida; Arecales; Arecaceae
Description: long non-coding RNA (EGUI_LNC045815)
Source: RNAcentral